AUCACUUCUCGGCCUUUUGGCUAAGAUCAAGUGAAGAACACUGGAGCGUUUGCCAUGUCAUUCAAUAUUCUCUGAGAAGAUAAUUUUGAAUACUACGUAAUAUUUCUUUGUAUCCAUAUGUGCCAGUUUAUUUAACAAUUUCACCAUUAUUGGUAAUUUUGACUACAUUCU
Heterocephalus glaber (naked mole-rat) is the source of this 171-nucleotide small nuclear RNA. Its record names the gene U2. It matches the Rfam family "U2 spliceosomal RNA". Rfam says of the family: U2 is a small nuclear RNA (snRNA) component of the spliceosome (involved in pre-mRNA splicing). Complementary binding between U2 snRNA (in an area lying towards the 5' end but 3' to hairpin I) and the branchpoint sequence (BPS) of the intron results the bulging out of an unpaired adenosine, on the BPS, which initiates a nucleophilic attack at the intronic 5' splice site, thus starting the first of two transesterification reactions that mediate splicing. The record is from Ensembl. Lineage: Eukaryota; Metazoa; Chordata; Mammalia; Rodentia; Bathyergidae.